UGACACUGUGGAACAAUGCAAAGGGAUGUGGCGCAGUUUGGUAGCGCGUUUGUUUUGGGUACAAAAUGUCACGG
RNAcentral lists this transfer RNA (74 nucleotides) under Swertia franchetiana. RNAcentral describes it as "tRNA-Pro". The stretch from base 22 to 74 matches the Rfam family "tRNA", at positions 1 to 50 of the family's 71-position model. From Rfam's summary of the family: Transfer RNA (tRNA) molecules are approximately 80 nucleotides in length. Their secondary structure includes four short double-helical elements and three loops (D, anti-codon, and T loops). Further hydrogen bonds mediate the characteristic L-shaped molecular structure. tRNAs have two regions of fundamental functional importance: the anti-codon, which is responsible for specific mRNA codon recognition, and the 3' end, to which the tRNAs corresponding amino acid is attached (by aminoacyl-tRNA synthetases). tRNAs cope with the degeneracy of the genetic code in two manners: having more than one tRNA (with a specific anti-codon) for a particular amino acid; and 'wobble' base-pairing, i.e. permitting non-standard base-pairing at the 3rd anti-codon position. RNAcentral also lists the same sequence under 10 other names. The record is from RNAcentral. Lineage: Eukaryota; Viridiplantae; Streptophyta; Magnoliopsida; Gentianales; Gentianaceae.